Molecule: transfer RNA, 18 nt
Filed under: Mochlus sundevallii (Peters' eyelid skink)
Lineage: Eukaryota; Metazoa; Chordata; Lepidosauria; Squamata; Scincidae
Description: Mochlus sundevalli partial tRNA-Tyr
Source: RNAcentral
UGUGGUAAGAACGGGAUU